UACGUAGGUGGCAAGCGUUGUCCGGAUUUACUGGGUGUAAAGGGCGCGUAGGCGGGCUCGUAAGUCAGACGUGAAAUACCGGGGCUCAACCCCGGGGCUGCGUCUGAAACUGCGAGUCUUGAGUGCCGGAGAGGAAAGCGGAAUUCCUAGUGUAGCGGUGAAAUGCGUAGAUAUUAGGAGGAACACCAGUGGCGAAGGCGGCUUUCUGGACGGUAACUGACGCUGAGGCGCGAAAGCGUGGGGAGCAAACAGG
Molecule: ribosomal RNA, 253 nt
Filed under: uncultured bacterium
Lineage: Bacteria
Description: partial 16S ribosomal RNA
Rfam family: Bacterial small subunit ribosomal RNA
Source: RNAcentral